UGUGUCGCUUCCUCUGUCUCUUCCCAAUCCUCGUUGUUUCCUCUUUGCCAUUUCACACACGCAUCCCCCGGAACAGAGGUUGGGAGAGAUAGCCAUGGCGAUUUGGAUCUCCCUCUCGGCGAUCGACGCAGUUGGUUGUUGGUGACUCGUCUGUGCUCUGUCCCGCUCCCCUGCUGCCUCCGCGCCCCGCUCGACCUCCCGUCGAUUGUCUGCCCCCGCACCAACCCCGGCCACAAUUUUCCCCCUCCCGUCGUUUUUGUUCGUCUGAUUCGGCAUUUUCUCUUGUUCCGUAGAUCUGAAUGGUAGUUUUAGGGGUUUCUUAGUCAGAUCUUGUUGUUGUGUGUAUUUCCCCCGCAUUCAUUCGUGUAGAUGUGUGAGGUUCCGCCGGGUUUGAUUCUCGUUUGCCAUGGCGGAUUUAGGAGGCGGAGUGCCCUGUGGUAGGUGGAGGUAGUUCCAGUUUCUAAGGCCGCUCGUCCCAGUCCAUGGCGGGGCGAGGUGACUGGGGGUGGGGUGCUCCUUGAAGGGGUUUCACUGUUAGUUUGAUUUGAUCUGUAACUGCGGUGUGUUAACUUGUUUAGUUGUACUAUUAUGCGAUAGUGAUCUAUUCCUAGGUUGUGCAUGUAGGUUUCCCCUAGGAUGACAUCCACUUGGUUGCGUGGUUGUAGUUUUGGCAAUAUAGUUGACACACAUCCACCUUCAUGUGGAUACAGGACUAUAUGAAUGAGUGAGUUGAAGUUGUUGUCAGUGGUUGUUUUGCACUGUAAUUCUGAAUUGAUUCAUAGUGUAUUCCCCAUUUGUUAUUACAGUGUAAUUUCUAGUGGAUUUACAGUGUAUUUUCGCUAUAGAUUUACAAUGUAGUUCUCACUGGAUUUACACUGUAAUUCCUAGUAGAUUUGCAGUGUCUUUUCUUAGGGGUUUUACACUGUAAUUUCUAGUGGAUUGUACAGUGUAAUCCCCAAUGGAUUUACAGUGUAUUUCCUAGGGGUUUUACAGUGUAAUUCUUAGGCGUUUUACACUGUAAUUCUUACUGGAUUGGGUGAUGAUUGCCUUUAGUCUAUCACCUACGUUCUGCUCCACUCAUUCUGUAUUGUUUCUAGCACUACCAUAACCCACUGCCAUGCUACUACUAGUAAUCCCAACCACUACACUGAACAAAUAAAGUGUAUAUUUGCACUGUAAUUUCAUUUAUUUCAUUGUAAUUUCAGUAGUGUGCAACUUGCAGUGUUUUUCCCUGAAAUUUUCCAGUUUCUCAGUGUUCCUUUUAGUGAUUUUGCAGUGUAACUUGCAAUGAUUUGUAUUGCUAUUUUCCAGUAUUUUUUAGUGUUAUUACUUAAAGCGGAGUAGUUUUGUAAAUGUGUAUGCUCAUCCGUGCAAUUUCAUUCAGUUAGUCUCACACCGAGUCAUUUUGGUAUAUAUUUUCAGGAAAAUCCCUUCAAUCUGUGCAUGUACAUUCAUGGACUCUAAUUCAGAAUUUUCAGGAAAUAGUGAUUUUACACUGUAAUUCUAAUUGGAUUUACAGUGUAAUUCUUUAGUGUAUUUUAGUGGUUGAUUACAGUGUAAUUCUUAGUGUAGCUAAACUGUAAUUUUUGUACUUACAGUCUAUGUACUGGAAUUUUCCGGUCUAACUUGCAGUGUAAUUACACUGUACUUUCAGUGUAAUUAAUCUGUUUAUUAUGUGUAAUUAAGCUGAAUUUUUGUACUUACAGUCUAUGCACUGAUACUUUCCAGUCUAAUUUACAAUGUAAAUACACUGUAAUUUUCAGUGUAAUUAACCUAUUUUUUGUAGUUACAGUCUAUGUACUAAAAUUUUGCAGUCUAAAUUGCAGUGUAAUUACACUAUAAAUUCAGUGCAAUUUGUAAUGUAAUUACACUCAGCGUUUAACCUGUGUUUUAAUCUGAAUUUUUGUUCUUGUAGUCUAUGUACAAUAUUUUUCCAAGCUAAAUUGCAGUGUAACUCUACUGUAAUUUUUUAAUCACAUUUAUGUCCUAUAAGGCUUGUGGGCAGGCACCCCUUGUUAUUUCUCCUGAUGGCAAUGUAAAUUGUUCAGAGAAGCCACAUAGACGAGUUUCCUUUGCAGCACAUUGUACAUCAGUGUUGAGUUUUCAUCAAAAAUGGGAGGAGGCUUGGUUGAGUGUAUCAUGUGAUCAUUUUUCCUCCAGCUGUCUAUGAUAUACUUGUCAGAUGUCAAGUGGUAGGAGAGAGAUCUUGGAGGAGUGGGUGCAUAAGAGGGGGGUGUUUACCUGUGUUUUUUCUGCAUCUCCUGCAUAAUUUGUGUCCCAGAUCAUGGAGGAAUUGCCCUCUCUUGUGUGGACCCAUUCAAGUUCAUGUUGCCGGUGUGUUUACAGUGCAUUUUCUUAGUGGAUUUACAGUGUAAUUCUAAGUGGAUUUACACUGUAAUUCCUACUGGAUUUACAUUGUUUUUCUUAGUGGAUUUCCAGUGUAAUUCCAAGUAGAUUUAUAGUGUAAUUUUAAGUCGAUUUACACUGUAAUUCCUACUGGAUUUAUAGUGUUUAUCUUAGUGGAUUCCAGUGUAAUUCUAAGUAGAUUUACAGUGUAAUUUUAAGUGGAUUUGCACUUUGGAUUUAUAGUGUUUUUCUUAGUGGAUUUGCAGUGUAAUUCUAAGUAGAUUUACAGCGUAAUUCUAAGUGGAUUUACAGAGUUUUUCUUAGUGGAUUUCCACUGAAAUGUUUAAUGUAAUUAUUUAAUACAAAUUAUUUGGAUUGUUAUUGUAUUUUUA
Long non-coding RNA from Triticum dicoccoides, 2738 nucleotides. RefSeq lists it as uncharacterized. The transcript is spliced from 2 exons. Lineage: Eukaryota; Viridiplantae; Streptophyta; Magnoliopsida; Poales; Poaceae. The record is from RefSeq and is a predicted model, not a curated record.